CUACGGGGCGCACCAGUGGGGAAUAUUGGACAAUGGGCGAAAGCCUGAUCCAGCAAUGCCGCGUGUGCGAUGAAGGCCUGAGGGUUGUAAAGCACUUUCGUUGGGAAAGAAAUGCUCAAAGCUAAUACCUUUGAGAGUUGACGUUACCCAAAGAAGAAGCACCGGCUAACUCUGUGCCAGCAGCCGCGGUAAUACAGAGGGUGCAAGCGUUAAUCGGAGUUACUGGGCGUAAAGGGCGCGUAGGCGGAUACUUAAGUCGGAUGUGAAAUCCCUGGGCUCAACCUAGGAACUGCGUUCGAUACUAAGUGCCUAGAGUAUGGUAGAGGAAAGUGGAAUUCCCGGUGUAGUGGUAAAAUACGUAGAUAUCGGGAGGAACAUCAGUGGCGAAGGCGACUUUCUGGGCCAAUACUGACGCUGAGGCGCGAAAGCGUGGGGAGCAAACAGGAUUAGAUACCCUGGUAGUC
This 464-nucleotide ribosomal RNA is filed under the name uncultured bacterium. RNAcentral's name for it is "partial 16S ribosomal RNA". It matches the Rfam family "Bacterial small subunit ribosomal RNA", at positions 339 to 795 of the family's 1533-position model. The record is from RNAcentral.